RNAcentral lists this ribosomal RNA (301 nucleotides) under uncultured bacterium. Its description in RNAcentral is "partial 16S ribosomal RNA". It matches the Rfam family "Bacterial small subunit ribosomal RNA", at positions 509 to 807 of the family's 1533-position model. The record is from RNAcentral.
CAGCAGCCACGGUAAUACGGAGGGUGCAAGCGUUAGUCGGAAUUACUGGGCGUAAAGCGCACACAGGCGGUUUGUUAAGUCAGAUGUGAAAUCCCCGAGCUUAACUUGGGAACUGCAUUUGAAACUGGCAAGCUAGAGUCUUGUAGAGGGGGGUAGAAUUCCAGGUGUAGCGGUGAAAUGCGUAGAGAUCUGGAGGAAUACCGGUGGCGAAGGCGGCCCCCUGGACAAAGACUGACGCUCAGGUGCGAAAGCGUGGGGAGCAAACAGGAUUAGAUACCCCGGUAGUCCCUGUCUCUUAUAC